This is a long non-coding RNA of Girardinichthys multiradiatus, 1594 nucleotides long. RefSeq lists it as uncharacterized. The transcript is spliced from 6 exons. Lineage: Eukaryota; Metazoa; Chordata; Actinopteri; Cyprinodontiformes; Goodeidae. The record is from RefSeq and is a predicted model, not a curated record.
CUAGGCUGCAAAACCAUAGCAACAUUUAGGAUCAAGGCAAGUAUGAGAUUUCAGUUUUCUCUGCAGUGUGUGUUUCUGAUCACAUUGAAGCAUGGAGGCUGUAGAUAACUUCACACAAUAGGUACAGGGAACCUGGUCAGAGCUAAUGGGCAGAUGGAAGGAGCAGAAUACAGAUGAAGCUUGGAAGUAAACUUGAAAGAGGCAGCGAAAAACUUGAGACUAGGGUGAAGGUUCACCUUACAGCAGGACAACAGCUCCAGAUACAUCCAGAGCUACAAAGGAGCACUCUAGCUUUGCCCAGCUGACCUGCAGAUUUUAUAUGGAUCAGUGAGGGUUCACUGAGAGAGCUGAGCGCAGAGAAACACGAAGACAGGAAACAGGGGCAUAGAGAGAUGGGAAGAAACGCAGGAAACGUUGCCGGGGACAGGACUCAAACCUGGGACUGCUACAUUGAAGCCCGAAGCCUCAGCACAUGGGCCGUGUGCUUAAACCUCUACACCGACAGCAUCGCACCCUUUAACACCCGUUCACUGAAAUUACAUCUUUUAACAUUUUUAGGGUCGCCUCCCAGUGAGAUAUGCCUGAAAAACCUCCAAUGAGGGGAUGCCCAGGAUAAAUUCUGAUGUGAUACCUGAACCAUGUCAAUGAUUCCUUUUCAUUUUAAGGAGCAGUUGCGGCGCUCUAAGCUUCCUCUAGACGAUGGAGCUCCUCGUCCAUUUCUCAAGCAGUCCAGAUCAUAGGUGACAGUUGAAACAUAGGCAUACUGGAGGGGAACAAUCCAUCAUUUUCCAGUUGAGGACCACGGCCUCAUACAUAGAGGAGCUGGCUCCCAGCUGUCAACCACUACAGUACUUGCCAAUGUUAUUUCUUAAAGAAACCAACAGAAAUACAUUAUAUACAAAAAGAUAAGACCCUGAGAUUCCCAAACCGAACUCCCUCCUCUCCUCUUCCACACUUCAGGGUCCUGUCCAUGAACACCACAAAAAGGGUCAGUGAGAAUGGGAAGUCCUGACAGAGUCCAAGCUACAUAGAGAAGAAGUUUGACUUUGUGCCGAGAAUCUGGACACAGAUUUGUAGCAUUUUUUUAACACUGUAAAUCUAGAGCAGCUUUGUUUGGGAAAAAAUCACAACAUUAAACUAAUGGAAUGGAGAUAGUUUCUACAAUGUAAAAUUAUUUUACAGUUCAAAUAUAAUGGACUACAAGGCAGUAUAUGCAGAAGUGAAUAUGGUGUUUGAACAUGAAUAAAUCAUAACCCAACCGCCUCCCAGGUUGAUGGCAGCAACAUGGUGUAUAUGUGUGUGUGCACAUAGGUCUGAACUAAAGACCUGAUGGGUGACGGAAUUAUUUGCCAUUGCAGCAUGGCUCCCAGGCAGGGGUGCGUGAGCACGUGCAUCCAUGAAUGUCAAAGAUCUUUUAUCCAGACUCACUGCUCCCACUGUCACACACAAUCCGUGCACACAUACAUAUCCUGACUGAUAAACACCGGCAAAAACGAAUGUCAGGAUGUCACAGUGAGUGACAGCAGCGAGCAUGACAAUCCCUUCUGACAGGCUUAGCUGGUAUCAUCACACAGCAAGUUGUGUAUGAGCACAU